ACUCAGGUGGUCAGGCUCAAUGGCAAGUGCACUUUGCUGUCUGAAUCCUGCCACAUGUCAAACCUGUCUCUAUUUGCUUCCUCUUUUCAGGAAACUUGAAAUGGACAAUACCGGAAGUGGCAAGAAGGGAAGAGGCUGAGGAUAAAGGAGAGAAGAUUGUGGAGGCAGCAGAAGAAAGAGCUAUGGAGUGGGGACUAUCAGCCAGAGACACAGUCUCUGCACUGUGUUUCCAACUUCAGCUUAAGGGCUGGUCAGUUUUCACAGAUUCAGACAAGAAGGAACAGGACAAGAGCAUUCAUAUAGACUUAGAUUGCCCAAAACACUGUCCAGUGAGCCAAACUGAGGCUCUCUCAGCCUGGCAGGGCAAAGGAAGCAGAACUGGCUGACAAAGGCAGAGCAUCCACUUCCAGAUGACCCCUUGCUAAUGUGAAACCAAGUGGGGCUUCCUGAGCUAUAAAUGGCCUGCUUGAAAAUGGAGCUUGUUUCUCUCUCCUGAUACUGUAGUAACCAGAAAACACUCUUAGGUUUGGUUUGCUGUAUAGAACUU
This is a non-coding RNA of Peromyscus maniculatus bairdii (prairie deer mouse), 547 nucleotides long. The record is from RefSeq and is a predicted model, not a curated record. NCBI's taxonomy places the organism in Eukaryota, Metazoa, Chordata, Mammalia, Rodentia, Cricetidae.